GAAAUUUUGGGGGUAAGAACGGUCGUAUCACACCCUUCUGGAUUUUCCAAUCAAGUGGAUUUAUAGCUGCUGCCUCCACUUUUAACAGAACUUCACCUUUUUUCGGUGAAGGAAUUGGAACUUCAACUUGCUUCAAAGCAGCAGCGCCACCGCCGUAGCCGUCGUAAUGAACGGCCCGCAUGGUUUUCCCUGCCAUUGCGGCGAAUUUGACGGAACCGAACAAAUGUAGUGCGAAACGAC
RNAcentral lists this unclassified non-coding RNA (240 nucleotides) under Hevea brasiliensis (rubber tree). Lineage: Eukaryota; Viridiplantae; Streptophyta; Magnoliopsida; Malpighiales; Euphorbiaceae. The record is from RNAcentral.